Molecule: long non-coding RNA, 461 nt
Filed under: Mytilus galloprovincialis (Mediterranean mussel)
Lineage: Eukaryota; Metazoa; Mollusca; Bivalvia; Mytilida; Mytilidae
Source: RNAcentral
CAAUGAUUCUGAAAUGAGGAGUACCCAAAUUGCAUCCAUGCUUAAAUUCACAUCGUCAAAAGUCUAAUAACAGAGCUUUUGUUUAAUUUCUUCAAAUAUUUUGAACAAUUGGAUAUUAGUCCAUGCUUACUCUUCAUUAUUUUUUAAAUGGAUACUUGUAACAUAUUGUAUUUGCUCAUUUUAAAAAGAUGACGAUUUGAUGACGUCGCAUGGCGACGUUUCAGUACAUUUUUCUUUUUCAGUAAAUACUUAAUCUGUUGAUAAAUACUGUGAACGUUUUGUGCAUAUCUAAAUAGUUUUACCUAUGUUGAAAGAUGUGCUUAGUAUCAAAUCAUAAAAAUACAAAUUGUUUAGUCUCUAGAAAAUCUUGUAAGAUUUUCGCUGCUAGUUUUGCUAAAUAGGUGCAAUUUGGGUACUCGGUGCAAUUUGGGUACCGUUACGUUAUAUAUAAUAUAGUUAAU